UUUCCAAGCUCCAUGGAGGAAACCUGCCAUGGCGCGUUGUAGACUAAAGGGGCGCUAUCUUGCGUGGGCCAGGUAUAAAUCCGUUGGAAAACGGUAUCAUGGAGGGUGAGAAUCCCGUCUUUGACCUGGUCAAUAUCCACGCAUGUACGUUGCGCUUCCGACGAGUCGGGUUGUUUGGGAAUGCAGCCCAAAAUGGGUGGUAAAUUUCAUCUAAAGCUAAAUACAGGCACGAGACCGAUAGCGAACAAGUACCAUGAGGGAAAGGUGAAAAGAACUUUGAAAAGAGAGUCAAAAAGUACGUGAAACCGUUAAAGGGGAAACGAAUGGGGCUAGCAAUUUGCCUGGGCAGCAAUCAGCCGGCGGGGGCUUGUGGAGGACAUACUUUGUGGCUGGCGACAGGAGCGAUCCUGCGGACAGCCAUGGGUCUCUUUUUUCCAUGUCCCUGGCGGUGCACUUGCGGUUCUGUGGCAGGCCAGCAUCAGUUUGGCCUGGCGCACAAAGGGCACGGGAAGGUAGUUGCGGCGCUCCGGCGUCGUAAUGUUAUAACCCGUGGUUUUUUUGAUCAUGCGCCGGGAAAGACUGAGGAGUAGCAGCGCGCAACACUUCGGAGAGCCACCGCUCGGGCUGCGGGUGUGGAAGGACUGUGCCUCGUCGCCCUUUACGGGGAGGCGGGCGCUGCAGUCGUCCACGCCGCCAAUCUGUGACGUCACAGGGAAUUUAUUUUUCCUGGGGCGGCGCGGAGAUCUGCAGCCUGAAACGGGGUGUACCCAGACCACGCGCUUGUGAUGCUGGCGGAAAAUGGCCUCAUCCGACCUGUCUUGAAACACGGACCAAGGAGUCUAACAUAUGCGCGAGUCUUUGGGUUGAAAGCCCGCAGGCGAAAUGAAAGUGAAGGCACGCUUGGCGUGCUGAGGUGAGACGCGAGGCCAGGCCCGCCUGUCAAAGGGGGGGCGUGGGCGAGCAGCAUCAUCGACCGAUCCGGAUGGCUCUGUCCUGAAAGAUUUGAGUAAGAGCGUAUCUGUUGGGACCCGAAAGAUGGUGAACUAUGCCUGAACAGGGUGAAGUCUGAGGAAACUCAGAUGGAAGCUCGUAGCGAUUCUGACGUGCAAAUCGAUCGUCUGAUUUGGGUAUAGGGGCGAAAGACUAAUCGAACCAUCUAGUAGCUGGUUCCCUCCGAAGUUUCCCUCAGGAUAGCUGGAACUAACAAAACGCAGUUUUAUCAGGUAAAGCGAAUGAUUAGAGGCCUUGGGGUUGAAAUAACCUCAACCUAUUCUCAAACUUUAAAUAGGUAAGAAGCCUGGCUUGCUUAACUGAAGCCAGGCAGACUGAAUGCAAGUUCCAAGUGGGCCAUUUUUGGUAAGCAGAACUGGCGAUGCGGGAUGAACCGAACGCAAAGUUAAAGUGCCAAAGUUCACGCUCACCUAGAACCCAGAAAAGGUGUUGGCUGAUGAAGACAGCAGGACGGUGGCCAUGGAAGUCGGAACCCGCUAAGGAGUGUGUAACAACUCACCUGCCGAAUCAGCCAGCCCUGAAAAUGGAUGGCGCUCAAGCGUGACACUCAUACUUUGCCGUUGCCCUUUUAUAACAAGCAUAUAUUUUACUAUAUAUGUCAAACGAAAAAGGGCAACGAGUAGGAGGGCGUGGAGGUCGUGAAGCAGCUUAGGGCGUAAGCCUGAGUGAAACGGCC
Molecule: ribosomal RNA, 1687 nt
Filed under: Paramoebidium sp. UT-2-W5
Lineage: Eukaryota; Ichthyosporea; Ichthyophonida; Amoebidiaceae
Description: eukaryotic LSU rRNA
Rfam family: Eukaryotic large subunit ribosomal RNA
Source: RNAcentral